This 459-nucleotide ribosomal RNA is filed under the name soil bacterium 14V-09. RNAcentral's name for it is "bacterial SSU rRNA". It matches the Rfam family "Bacterial small subunit ribosomal RNA", at positions 24 to 490 of the family's 1533-position model. The record is from RNAcentral.
UCAGGACGAACGCUGGCGGCGUGCUUAACACAUGCAAGUCGAGCGGAAAGGCCCUUUCGGGGGUACUCGAGCGGCGAACGGGUGAGUAACACGUGAGUAAUCUGCCCUGCGCUCUGGGAUAGCCACCGGAAACGGUGAUUAAUACCGGAUAUGACUGCUACCCGCAUGGGUUGGUGGUGGAAAGUUUUUCGGCGCAGGAUGUGCUCGCGGCCUAUCAGCUUGUUGGUGAGGUAAUGGCUCACCAAGGCUUUGACGGGUAACCGGCCUGAGAGGGUGACCGGUCACACUGGGACUGAGACACGGCCCAGACUCCUACGGGAGGCAGCAGUGGGGAAUAUUGGACAAUGGGCGGAAGCCUGAUCCAGCAACGCCGCGUGAGGGAUGACGGCCUUCGGGUUGUAAACCUCUUUCAGUAUCGACGAAGCGACCUUUUGGGGAGUGACGGUAGUACAGAAGAAG